Molecule: ribosomal RNA, 497 nt
Filed under: uncultured bacterium
Lineage: Bacteria
Description: partial 16S ribosomal RNA
Rfam family: Bacterial small subunit ribosomal RNA
Source: RNAcentral
GAUGAACGCUGGCGGCGUGCCUAAUACAUGCAAGUCGAGCGAACGGACGAGAAGCUUGCUUCUCUGAUGUUAGCGGCGGACGGGCGAGUAACACGUGGAUAACCUACCUAUAAGACUGGGAUAACUUCGGGAAACCGGAUCUAAUACCGGAUAAUAUUUUGAACCGCAUGGUUCAAAAGUGAAAGACGGUCUUGCUGUCACUUAUAGAUGGAUCCGCGCUGCAUUAGCUAGUUGGUAAGGUAACAGCUUGCCAAGGCAACGAUGCGUAGCCGACCUGAGAGGGUGAUCGGCCACACUGGAACUGAGACACGGUCCAGACUCCUACGGGAGGCAGCAGUGGGGAAUCUUCCGCAAUGGGCGAAAGCCUGACGGAGCAACGCCGCGUGAGUGAUGAAGGUCUUCGGAUCGUAAAGCUCUGUUAUUAGGGAAGAACAUAUGUGUAAGUAACUGUGGACGUCUUGACGGUACCUAAUCAGAAAGCCACGGCUAACUACGUG